This 589-nucleotide ribosomal RNA is filed under the name uncultured Lachnospiraceae bacterium. Its description in RNAcentral is "bacterial SSU rRNA". It matches the Rfam family "Bacterial small subunit ribosomal RNA", at positions 63 to 666 of the family's 1533-position model. Lineage: Bacteria; Bacillati; Bacillota; Clostridia; Lachnospirales; Lachnospiraceae. The record is from RNAcentral.
CAGGAGGAAGUUUUCGGAUGGAAUCCGGUAGAUCGAGUGGCGGACGGGUGAGUAACGCGUGGGGAACCUGCCUCAUACAGGGGGAUAACAGUUGGAAACGACUGUUAAUACCGCAUAAGACCACAGAGUCGCAUGACUCAGGGGUAAAAACUCCGGUGGUAUGAGAUGGACCCGCGUUCGAUUAGCCAGUUGGCGGGGUAACGGCCCACCAAAGCGACGAUCGAUAGCCGAUUUGAGAGAAUGACCGGCCACAUUGGGACUGAGACACGGCCCAAACUCCUACGGGAGGCAGCAGUGGGGAAUAUUGCACAAUGGGGGGAACCCUGAUGCAGCGACGCCGCGUGAGUGAAGAAGUAUUUCGGUAUGUAAAGCUCUAUCAGCAGGGAAGAAGAUGACGGUACCUGAGUAAGAAGCCCCGGCUAACUACGUGCCAGCAGCCGCGGUAAUACGUANGGGGCAAGCGUUAUCCGGAUUUACUGGGUGUAAAGGGAGCGCAGACGGCUAUGCAAGUCUGAAGUGAAAGCCCGGGGCUCAACCCCGGGAUUGCUUUGGAAACUGUGUAGCUAGAGUGUCGGAGAGGUAAGCAGAA